ACCAAAACUUGUGAUUAAUACUUAGAGUCCGAAUGGUAACCGCGGUUUUUGUUGUGCGGGGAAAGCGUUAUUGUAGUGCGGUACGGUUCAAUUACGGUACGUGUGGAAGAAAUAUAUUUGCGGGACAAGUGCGGUUUGUACAAAAUAAGCGGUAUAUAAUAAUGUUUGAUUCGUGAAAAAAACUAUUUGUGGUACGGAUUAUAGAUUAUAUAUAUUA
This 217-nucleotide small RNA is filed under the name Arabidopsis thaliana (thale cress). RNAcentral's name for it is "ATSL056110". Lineage: Eukaryota; Viridiplantae; Streptophyta; Magnoliopsida; Brassicales; Brassicaceae. The record is from RNAcentral.